Molecule: long non-coding RNA, 693 nt
Organism: Puntigrus tetrazona (Sumatra barb)
Lineage: Eukaryota; Metazoa; Chordata; Actinopteri; Cypriniformes; Cyprinidae
Exons: 2
Source: RefSeq, a predicted model, not a curated record
CUAUAAGUAAAAUAUCUUACUAAAGACAGUACUAAAUAAUAAAAACAACAUUCAUUUUGUAUAUUUUGUUAAGAUUUUCCACAGAUUCUGCAAGGGGUGCCAAAUCUUUUGCAUACCACUGUAUCUGUAUCGCGAAAAGAUACAUUUAACCAAAGGGUGUUUGUUUGUGGUUGAAGAUCCAGGAAACUCAGUAGUGGUGGGCGUUUAAAACAUAUCAGAUCAGAGUUUAUAUAACAUCACGCUGGGAAAAUAUUACAAGUGUGAAACAGACUUUAAUUCGGUCAGAUUUCUUUAAAAGCUCAUCAAAGCCAGAUAAUGGCGGGAGCAUCUUGUGUUCUGGUGUUCGGACCGGUCCUGCACACGGCCUGGACUUCUGACAAUCAAAAGAUAUUUUGACAGGACCAGCGAAGCUUGCAUCACCUCAUCUUCAAAAUGGCAACCCACGUCAGAAAACAACAGAUCCUACCCUCAAAAACAACCGGCACCCUCCAAAGUUAGAUUCAAUACUUUUGAUUUUAUUUAGGUUCUGUUCUCCAUAUAGCUACUAGAUCAGAAAACUGUUCAUUACAAUUGUAAGGUGCUACAAAGAACCGUAAAAACCUUCAAAUACUGUACCGUUGUUUUGAGUGUGUUUGUCAAGUAUGGUUUUAAGCCAAUUAUUUUAUACAAAUAAAUAAAAACAUGACAACAUGA